This 23-nucleotide small nuclear RNA is filed under the name Arabidopsis thaliana (thale cress). RNAcentral describes it as "snRNA_19239". Lineage: Eukaryota; Viridiplantae; Streptophyta; Magnoliopsida; Brassicales; Brassicaceae. The record is from RNAcentral.
UUUUCGCUGAAAAUGUUGAAAUU